RNAcentral lists this unclassified non-coding RNA (1014 nucleotides) under Venturia canescens. Its description in RNAcentral is "eEF1A lysine methyltransferase 2, transcript variant X1". The record is from RNAcentral. Lineage: Eukaryota; Metazoa; Arthropoda; Insecta; Hymenoptera; Ichneumonidae.
GCAAGCGUGGUCAAUUUGCACCCCAAUCUACUUUUCAGUGAUAAUUAUUAAGUACAUACAAUUGAAAAAUAAAUUUUUGGUCAUCGGAAAUCAUGAGUGAAAGUGAAGAACUCAAUGCCUCGGAGUUGGGAACAUUGGAUUACUGGGAAAAGAUUUAUGACCGUGAAAUAGAAAAUUUUAAAGAUCACGGGGAUGUCGGUGAAGUCUGGUUUGGUGAGCAAAAUGCUCGUAAAGUUGUCAGGUACAUCAGCAAAGAACUUGACUUAUCACCAACCGAUAAAAUUGUGGAUAUCGGCUGUGGUAACGGUUGGACGUUAAUAGAGUUAUCCAAAAAUGGUUUCACUCAGCUUACAGGAAUAGAUUACUCUGAAAAAGCUGUUGAUCUUGCCUCCAAGAUAUUGCAAGACAGCAGUGAAGUUCCUUCUUCUACCAUUAAUUUGAUGGUUUGCGACAUUCUUGAUAUCGAGAGCAGCUCGUUGGCGAAUGAUUUCAAAUUAAUUCAUGACAAAGGAACUUAUGAUGCCAUAAGCUUGAACCCUGAUGAUCCUCAAGGUCAGAGAACGAAGUACAUAAAAAAUGUUUGCAAUAUUCUCAGGCCAGAUGGAUAUCUCGUUAUUUCAUCGUGCAAUUGGACCAAGGAUGAGCUGAUAACACAUUUCCAGGGCGAUUUCCAAUAGGAAAAAAAUGUUCUAAAUUUUCGGGGGGAUGUUCCGCUUUGCCCUGCUCUCCCCUCUAUAUACUGUAUACGUGAACAAUGCAGGGACUAACUUGCUCGAUGACGAACUGAGAACCUACUCAGACAGUGGAAGACCGGAUUUUCAAUGCAUGGUGAAAUAUUUUCCGUUAAUAUACGAAAAACGCGUGUUGGUGUAAAUGUAUCUUGGUUUGCGGUUCUCGUACGCCGAAACUAUUGAUUUUACGAAAAAAAUGACUUUGACGUCGUUUGCAGUUUGCAUACACCCGCAUUUUCAUUCGGUGGAAAAGUUGGCGAAUCCUUGGCCUGCGUCGUAUUCC